RNAcentral lists this long non-coding RNA (817 nucleotides) under Ictidomys tridecemlineatus (thirteen-lined ground squirrel). RNAcentral's name for it is "lncRNA (ENSSTOG00000033094.1)". Lineage: Eukaryota; Metazoa; Chordata; Mammalia; Rodentia; Sciuridae. The record is from RNAcentral.
GUGGGGGCUGGCAAGUCUGAAAUCUCCAAGUGGGCGGUCAGGCUGGCCACAUGGAUCAACUGCCUGCCCCGGAAGCCCUCUUGUUCAGGGGAGGUCAGUCUUUUUGUCCUAUUGAGGCCUUCUGCGGGCCAGAUUGGGCUCCAUCCUGCUGGGGAGGGUGAUGUGCUUCAUUCAAAACCUGCUGCUGAUUCUCACACACGCCCAGAAUAAAUCUGAACCAGUAUCUGGGCAAUGUGGUCCAGGCAAGCUGACCCACAAAGUCAGCCAUCACAGCAUUGAAAGUCUGGCCUGCCACUGGUACCCAGUGGGACCCCAGCCUUGGCUAGUGUGGCCGGGGUGUUCUCCUGCCCAUUUGCUAACAAACCCUUCUUCUCUGGCAGAGCCAUGGGUUUUAAUUUCUUGGCCCAGUGGAACCUGCUCUCUGAGGACCACCAUAGUUCUCGCUGACCAUGCUGUGUGCUGGAGCUGGAGUAGCCCAGCCAGAGGCCUGCAAGUGCUCUGGUGGACGGCUUCUCUCAGCAUUACCUGUCUGGUGGAUUUCUGGGCCCCAACUUGGCUGAACCUGCCGCCUCACCCUGCUUUACACCAUGUGCGUGCAGAGGCGAUGCUUCAGCCUCACUCGCCUCUGGAACUCCCUCUUGCCUCUUGCAGCUUUGCCGUCAGGCACUUACACAUUUACAAACUGACCCUUUGGUUAUCACAGAACCUUCUUCUUUGCCUCUGGUGAGACUGCCCAUCUUGAAGCCUGUUUUGUCCAAUGUCAAUGUACUGUUUGGCCUUGCGAAACUUGGCUGCUGUCAUGGUGCUUCUUUCCUCC